GCCGAAGUGGCGGAAUUGGUAGACGCGCUAGAUUCAGGUUCUAGUGAGCUUAGGCUCGUGGAGGUUCAAGUCCUCUUUUCGGCACCA
Molecule: transfer RNA, 87 nt
Filed under: Candidatus Saccharimonadota bacterium
Lineage: Bacteria; Candidatus Saccharimonadota
Description: tRNA-Leu
Rfam family: tRNA
About the family: Transfer RNA (tRNA) molecules are approximately 80 nucleotides in length.
Source: RNAcentral